Molecule: long non-coding RNA, 250 nt
Filed under: Vigna radiata
Lineage: Eukaryota; Viridiplantae; Streptophyta; Magnoliopsida; Fabales; Fabaceae
Description: long non-coding RNA (VRAD_LNC013804)
Source: RNAcentral
ACUGCUUUACGCCUUCUGCUCCGGCCAUGCCACAGUUGUAUGAAACUCAUCCAUGGUCCACCUGUGUGCUGGUGGCUGGUCAUAUAAUCCAAUGAUCAUCUCAGCCGUCGUCACCUGCCCUCUGUGAAGGGCUUCCAUCCGGGCCUCCAUCAUGGACAUAUACAUGUCCCUCAUCUGGAAGGGCUCCGCGUGCUGAGCUGGUACCUCAUCGGGCACCUGCUCCUGCUGAGCAGUAGCUCUCCUACGCCGU